Long non-coding RNA from Ictalurus punctatus (channel catfish), 2059 nucleotides. NCBI's taxonomy places the organism in Eukaryota, Metazoa, Chordata, Actinopteri, Siluriformes, Ictaluridae. The record is from Ensembl.
AUAUAUAUAUAUUACAAUUGUUUUAAUAUCCAUGAGAGCAGAGUAUUUUUGUGAAUAAUGUUUUAACAAAAGGUCAAAAGGUUAAACAAUAACAACAAUGUUUCCCAGCUCAUAUUUACCAAGGGUGCCAACAUUAGUGGAGGGCAGUGUAUUAUGUAAGGAAUAAUACACGACAGAAUGUAUGGUGUAAUACAGCCUGAGGUGUAUUGUCUUUUAUAACUGCGCGGUGUGGCAUGUCAUUCAGGUUAUACCACAGUAAUUUGUCAGUAAUGACACUGUUUAAUUUAUUAAUGAACGACACAUCACGCUUUUUAAUGAUUUAAAGUUACAUGUAAUGUCAUGGAAUAUCCGAGAGACAAGUUAGUUCCUGUUAUCGCUUACAUUAUAGCCGCGACAGUCAUUCCCCCUCACCAGCUUCUCCUUUUUCCCUCUCUCUGUCAAAAACCGCAGACUGAUGUUUUUUACUGAGAAAGUGGAAAGCGUAAAUUCCUCUGUCCUCAAGAUUUUCCUGUGCUGGGAAACUUUAAAAAGCACCGUGACUGUUACAAAGCGCUGACAUCCGAGACUGCAUCUAUAAAUGUUCAGUAAACACGUCCUAACACAUUACUGAUUAUAAAUUUUACUUUGUUAAUUUAAUCUAUUUAUUAUUUUAGGAUUAGGUUAUUUGACGCAUCCGCCAACAUAACAUGUCCCGGUAUAUGAGCGGUUACUAUAGAAACGAUAACGUAUUCGAGUUAUGUUACAGCUGGAACUACUGUCCGAGCCGUGCUGUUAUACAGAAAUAAUACACACCUUCUGACCAAUCAGAUUCGAGAGUUGGACCACGCAGUGGGGAAACCGUUGGGUUUAGCUUUCAGUUUCACCGGUGAAGACUGCAUUUGAUGUUAAAAAGGAUAAGCCAACGUGAAGAGCAGAGAGCUGUCUAGGGGAGAAAAGCAAGCCAUUUUGAAGCUGAGAAAAGAGGGAAAAUCAGUCAGAGGCAUUACUUAAGCAUUUGGCAUAGACAGUACAAUAAUUUGGAAUGUCCUGAAAAAGAAAAAAAACACUGGUGUACUGAGAAACACACACUGAAUGGGUCGGCCAAGAAAAACAACAGCAGCUAUAGGUCCUCUGGGAGAACCCUUGAAGAUUCUGUGUAGAAACUGAUUUCAGUGAGUCAAAUCACUUGAUUCAAUGAGUCGACUCUUAAGCGUCUCUUUUUUUUCCUCUCUGUAUGUCGGACAAAGUUUACAAUCUGUUGUCCAGUGAUGUCUUCUUGGCCUAAAUAUGGCUGAAAUAGUUUCCUGAAAUCUUCCUCUACCUUCUAAUGACCUAUAUAGUAUUACUUUGCAUUGAAUUUGAUCAAAUCUGUUGAAGUAAAAGUCAGCAAGGCACUACUGUGCACUGACGGAUACAGUCAGAGUAUGUGCGUUAAUGUUAUUAAUGUCACACACACACACACCCCUCACCAUUCACUCUGACGAACAGUUCAGAUGAAAGAGGUUUCCAUGGAAGCAUUUUGGCUUAAAUUCCAUUGCAAGACUAAUGGCAUUGCGUACAUCUAUAAAAGAAACACACGGCUCAUAUAUACGAGAGAUCUCUCAGCGUUCACCUCAAAGAGCCGACUCGUUCUGCUACUACAGAGUGCUCUCACAGACGUGUUCUGUGUGGAACUCUUUUAUGAAGCUGAGAACAUGUAACUAGAACUGGGGUUUGUACCUGUGUGUGUGUGUGUGUGUGUGUGUCAUUACAGCUGGUUGUUAGGCCCUUGCUCUGUGGCCAAGAGGCCAGGAGAAAGGGUGUGUGUGUGUGUGUGUGUGUGUUAGUUAGUGUGUUAGGCACAGGAUUACAGUCUCCCACCCAUCCCCAGGAAUAUCCCUCGCUCUGCGAAAAGGAAAUACCAGAUUAAAGCUACAUUACAUUCCACUCAGGCUUGUUCCCAUCUCUCUCAGCUUUCUCUCUCACUCACUGUGUCUGUUAAUCUCGCUCGUCCAUCUCUCUCUCUCUCUCUCUCUCUCUCUCUCUCUCUCUCUCUCUCUCUCUGCCCUCUCUUUGACGCUUUUAUAUCACCUAUUUUGCC